GAAGUAUCAAUUGGCCACAAUUUGGCACUACAUCAAGGUUGAGCUGGUUUCUCCAACCUCUGCUGAGAUCCCUACAGCUAUUCAGAGCCUGAAAACAAAACAAAACCAACAGUCAAUAGUGCUCAAACUGGUAGCUUCAAACAGCUCACAGGUAAGGAAGCUGUGCUGCAUGGUUUGGGGAUCACCAAAGGGUGGAUAUGAUUUUAUCUCAGAGAGCUCAUAGACAAACAUGGUAUUAUUGGCUAUAAUGCUUGA
Molecule: long non-coding RNA, 255 nt
Filed under: Homo sapiens (human)
Lineage: Eukaryota; Metazoa; Chordata; Mammalia; Primates; Hominidae
Description: non-protein coding lnc-FRK-5:1
Source: RNAcentral